AUACGUAGGGUGCGAGCGUUAAUCGGAAUUACUGGGCGUAAAGCGUGCGCAGGUGGUUUUGUAAGUCAGAUGUGAAAUCCCAGGGCUUAACCUGGGAACUGCGUUUGAAACUGCAAGGCUAGAGUGUGGCAGAGGGGGGUGGAAUUCCGCGUGUAGCAGUGAAAUGCGUAGAUAUGUGGAGGAACACCGAUGGCGAAGGCAGCCCCCUGGGUCAACACUGACGCUCAGGCACGAAAGCAUGGGGAGCAAACAGGAUUAGAAACCCCAGUAGUCC
RNAcentral lists this ribosomal RNA (274 nucleotides) under uncultured bacterium. RNAcentral describes it as "partial 16S ribosomal RNA". It matches the Rfam family "Bacterial small subunit ribosomal RNA", at positions 523 to 796 of the family's 1533-position model. The record is from RNAcentral.